AACUUGGUUAAGCGCAAUUGGACAGGAUCUACUAGGUGUAGUUUCUGUGAUCAUGACGAGACCAUUAAGCAUCUCUUCUUUGAGUGUCCAUUGGUGAGAAUUCUGUGGCGCACCGUGCAAAUUGCCUUUAACAUUACUCCUCCGAGUUCGGUCGGGUCGUUAUUUGGAACGUGGCUGGAUGGGAUAGAGUCCGAUACAGCCAGACAUAUUCGUGUAGGAGUUUGUGCGUUGUUAUGGGCAAUUUGGAACUGCAGAAAUGAUUUAGCUUUUAACAGAAUAACUACUAUUCAUUUUUUGCAGGUUGUAUUCCGUGCUACGGCGCUGAUCCGUAUGUGGUCCUUACUCACUCCGACGGAGGCCAGGGAGCGUUUGGUUACUGGAUCUGUCCGUUGGGAGAUGGUAGCGCGGGAUAUCUUCAACCGGUUUGGAUGGCGGUCAUGUAAUAGGAUAGGCGAUUAG
Molecule: ribosomal RNA, 459 nt
Filed under: Triticum aestivum (bread wheat)
Lineage: Eukaryota; Viridiplantae; Streptophyta; Magnoliopsida; Poales; Poaceae
Description: partial small subunit ribosomal RNA
Source: RNAcentral